This 45-nucleotide non-coding RNA is filed under the name Schistosoma mansoni. The record is from RNAcentral. Lineage: Eukaryota; Metazoa; Platyhelminthes; Trematoda; Strigeidida; Schistosomatidae.
NNCCAGCUGACCAGUCCCAAAUAGGACGAAACGCGCGUUCUGGUU